RNAcentral lists this ribosomal RNA (413 nucleotides) under uncultured Microbacteriaceae bacterium. RNAcentral's name for it is "bacterial SSU rRNA". It matches the Rfam family "Bacterial small subunit ribosomal RNA", at positions 355 to 774 of the family's 1533-position model. The record is from RNAcentral. Lineage: Bacteria; Bacillati; Actinomycetota; Actinomycetes; Micrococcales; Microbacteriaceae.
UGGGGAAUAUUGCACAAUGGGCGCAAGCCUGAUGCAGCAACGCCGCGUGAGGGACGACGGCCUUCGGGUUGUAAACCUCUUUUAGUAGGGAAGAAGGGAGCUUGCUCUUGACGGUACCUGCAGAAAAAGCACCGGCUAACUACGUGCCAGCAGCCGCGGUAAUACGUAGGGUGCAAGCGUUAUCCGGAAUUAUUGGGCGUAAAGAGCUCGUAGGCGGUUUGUCGCGUCUGCUGUGAAAACUGGGGGCUCAACCCCCAGCCUGCAGUGGGUACGGGCAGACUAGAGUGCGGUAGGGGAGAUUGGAAUUCCUGGUGUAGCGGUGGAAUGCGCAGAUAUCAGGAGGAACACCAAUGGCGAAGGCAGAUCUCUGGGCCGUAACUGACGCUGAGGAGCGAAAGCAUGGGGAGCGAACA